UACGCUUCUCAGCCUAUGUGGCUAAGAUCAAAGCGUAGUGUCUGUUCUUAUCAGUUUAAUUUCUUUUGAUAGAUACUUGUAACACCUGCUCUGAAGAUGGAUUCUUCUGCUGCCAUUUUUGAAAAAAUUGAUGCUGCUUUGAAAAUAUAUUCCAGUGCUGCUACUUUGGAAGAAAAUUCUCUCUGCUCCUGAGACAACUGCACUCUCAGCAGCAGCAGUUGCU
This 223-nucleotide small nuclear RNA is filed under the name Chelydra serpentina (North American snapping turtle). RNAcentral describes it as "U2 spliceosomal RNA (ENSCSRG00000005281.1)". The stretch from base 1 to 179 matches the Rfam family "U2 spliceosomal RNA". Rfam says of the family: U2 is a small nuclear RNA (snRNA) component of the spliceosome (involved in pre-mRNA splicing). Complementary binding between U2 snRNA (in an area lying towards the 5' end but 3' to hairpin I) and the branchpoint sequence (BPS) of the intron results the bulging out of an unpaired adenosine, on the BPS, which initiates a nucleophilic attack at the intronic 5' splice site, thus starting the first of two transesterification reactions that mediate splicing. Lineage: Eukaryota; Metazoa; Chordata; Testudines; Chelydridae. The record is from Rfam by way of RNAcentral.